ACCUGGGUGGCUCAGUUGGUUGAGCACCUGACUUCAGCUCAGGUCAUGAUUUCACGGUUCGUGGGUUUGAGCCCUGCAUUGGGCU
RNAcentral lists this transfer RNA (85 nucleotides) under Felis catus (domestic cat). It matches the Rfam family "tRNA". From Rfam's summary of the family: Transfer RNA (tRNA) molecules are approximately 80 nucleotides in length. Lineage: Eukaryota; Metazoa; Chordata; Mammalia; Carnivora; Felidae. The record is from Rfam by way of RNAcentral. RNAcentral also lists the same sequence under 3 other names.